This 24-nucleotide non-coding RNA is filed under the name Cricetulus griseus (Chinese hamster). Lineage: Eukaryota; Metazoa; Chordata; Mammalia; Rodentia; Cricetidae. The record is from RNAcentral.
UCUUUGUGGGAGAUCAGCAGGACA